RNAcentral lists this ribosomal RNA (1408 nucleotides) under metagenome. RNAcentral's name for it is "bacterial LSU rRNA". It matches the Rfam family "Bacterial large subunit ribosomal RNA", at positions 1496 to 2925 of the family's 2925-position model. The record is from RNAcentral.
UUCGGGAAAAGCCGGUGCAAGCGAGGUAGGAGUACAGUAGGCAAAUCCGCUGUACAAUCCGAAGACGUGAUGCGGACCGAAUUAAGAGUAGGGAAGUGUGUGAGCCAUGCGUCAAGAAAAGCCGCUAUUGUUUUACUUAAGCCCGUACCGUAAACCGACACAGGUGGAUGAGGAGAGAAUCCUAAGGCCGACGGGAGAAGCAUUGUUAAGGAACUCGGCAAAAUGACUCCGUAACUUCGGGAGAAGGAGUGCCAGCGAGAGCUGGCCGCAGAGAAUUGGCCCAAGCAACUGUUUAGCAAAAACACAGGUCUAUGCAAAACCGUAAGGUGAAGUAUAUGGGCUGACGCCUGCCCGGUGCUGGAAGGUUAAGAGGAGAGGAUAGCGGCAACGCGAAGCUUUGAAUUUAAGCCCCAGUAAACGGCGGCCGUAACUAUAACGGUCCUAAGGUAGCGAAAUUCCUUGUCGGGUAAGUUCCGACCCGCACGAAAGGCGUAAUGAUUUGGGCACUGUCUCAACAAUGCACCCGGUGAAAUUGAAAUACCAGUGAAGAUGCUGGUUACCUGCGCCAGGACGGAAAGACCCCAUGGAGCUUUACUCCAGCUUGAUACUGGGAUUCGGUAUUGCAUGUACAGGAUAGGUGGGAGGCUAGGAAGUGAUAACGCCAGUUGUCACGGAGCCGCUGUUGGGAUACCACCCUUGCAGUAUUGGAUUUCUAACCAGCGACCAUGAACUGGUCGGGGGACAAUGUCAGGUGGGGAGUUUGACUGGGGCGGUCGCCUCCGAAAGGGUAUCGGAGGCGCUCAAAGGUUCCCUCAGAAUGGACGGAAACCAUUCGAAGAGUGCAAAGGCAGAAGGGAGCUUGACUGCGACACCGACGGGUGGAGCAGGUACGAAAGUAGGACUUAGUGAUCCGGUGGUAUAAAGUGGGAUUGCCAUCGCUCAACGGACAAAAGCUACCCCGGAUAACAGGCUUAUCACUCCCAAGAGUUCACAUCGACGGAGUGGUUUGGCACCUCGAUGUCGGCUCAUCGCAUCCUGGGGCUGAAGUAGGUCCCAAGGGUUGGGCUGUUCGCCCAUUAAAGCGGUACGCGAGCUGGGUUCAGAACGUCGUGAGACAGUUCGGUCCCUAUCCGGCGUGGGCGUAGGAUAUUUGAGAGGAGCUGUCCUUAGCACGAGAGGACCGGGAUGGACUGGCCGCUGGUGUAUCUGUUGCAUACCAAAUGCAUGGCAGAGUAGCCAAGCCGGGACGGGAUAAACGCUGAAGGCAUCUAAGCGUGAAGCCCCCCUCAAGAUGAGAUAUCCCUACGUAAGUAGUAAGACCCCUUGAAGACGACGAGGUAGAUAGGUCAGAGGUGGAAGUACAGUAAUGUAUGGAGCUGACUGAUACUAAUCGGUCGAGGGCAUGACC